Molecule: transfer RNA, 73 nt
Filed under: Stegodyphus mimosarum
Lineage: Eukaryota; Metazoa; Arthropoda; Arachnida; Araneae; Eresidae
Rfam family: tRNA
About the family: Transfer RNA (tRNA) molecules are approximately 80 nucleotides in length. Their secondary structure includes four short double-helical elements and three loops (D, anti-codon, and T loops). Further hydrogen bonds mediate the characteristic L-shaped molecular structure. tRNAs have two regions of fundamental functional importance: the anti-codon, which is responsible for specific mRNA codon recognition, and the 3' end, to which the tRNAs corresponding amino acid is attached (by aminoacyl-tRNA synthetases). tRNAs cope with the degeneracy of the genetic code in two manners: having more than one tRNA (with a specific anti-codon) for a particular amino acid; and 'wobble' base-pairing, i.e. permitting non-standard base-pairing at the 3rd anti-codon position.
Source: Rfam by way of RNAcentral
GCCUUCGUGGUGUAGUGGUCAGCACGUUCGGCGCGUAUUCGAAAGAUUCGUGGUUCGACUCCCGGCGAGGACA